This 330-nucleotide long non-coding RNA is filed under the name Panax ginseng (ginseng). RNAcentral describes it as "long non-coding RNA (PGIN_LNC007980)". Lineage: Eukaryota; Viridiplantae; Streptophyta; Magnoliopsida; Apiales; Araliaceae. The record is from RNAcentral.
CCAUUUAUAAAAUACAAAAUCUAAAAAUAUGCUAAUUAAAAUUAAGGGAGAUGUGAAAUAUAUUUAAGGGAAAAUGAAAGAAAAUUAUAAUAAAAUUGAGGACACCAUUACUUUAAAGAUAUCAGCAUAAUAUUCACCCAGAACUGGACAUGUGAAAUUCAUUGAAAAUUUAUUUAUUUAUUUAUUUAUUUUGAUAAUGCAUGUCAAUUAUAAUUUAGGCAAUUCAAUCACCACCACACACUUUCUCUCUCUUAACCAUGAAUCACCACCCUCAUCCACCGCCGCCGUUGCCGUCGCCCCCCCCAUUGACCUGAAAACCACCACCCAAAU